UACGUAGGUGACAAGCGUUGUCCGGAUUUACUGGGCGUAAAGAGCGCGCAGGCGGUCGAUCAAGUCGAGUGUGAAGGCCCCCGGCUCAACUGGGGAGGGUCAUUCGAUACUGAUCGACUCGAAGGCAGGAGAGGGUAGUGGAAUUCCCGGUGUAGUGGUGAAAUGUGUUGAUAUCGGAAGGAACGCCGGUGGCGAAAGCGGCCCGCUGGACCCCAUCUGACGCUGAGGCGCGAAAGCCAGGGGAGCGAACGGG
This 253-nucleotide ribosomal RNA is filed under the name uncultured bacterium. RNAcentral describes it as "partial 16S ribosomal RNA". It matches the Rfam family "Bacterial small subunit ribosomal RNA", at positions 524 to 776 of the family's 1533-position model. The record is from RNAcentral.